RNAcentral lists this ribosomal RNA (210 nucleotides) under Triticum aestivum (bread wheat). RNAcentral describes it as "partial small subunit ribosomal RNA". The record is from RNAcentral. Lineage: Eukaryota; Viridiplantae; Streptophyta; Magnoliopsida; Poales; Poaceae.
AUGGUACACAUCCUUAGCUCUGUACGUAGAUACCAUAUAUACUUCCUCUUCCCGUGCCACCAGUCAAUGUUCCGCUCAAGUAAAAGUCUACUCCUCAUCCAUACAACAUGUUACAUUUCCUCGGCUUACCAAUUUCUCUAUCCUAAGCAUGGGAGGUGUCAAGAAGUUCCCAAUGAUCUAUCUCAUCCAAGACCAGAUUCCCGUAGCUAA